CCUUCGAUAGCUCAAUCUGGCAGAGCGCGGGACUGUAAUGGCAAUGAAUCUUCAAGCUUCACCGCACAUCCCGAGGUCGCUGGUUCGACCCCGGCUCGAAGGA
Transfer RNA from Hypholoma sublateritium FD-334 SS-4, 103 nucleotides. It matches the Rfam family "tRNA". Rfam says of the family: Transfer RNA (tRNA) molecules are approximately 80 nucleotides in length. Lineage: Eukaryota; Fungi; Basidiomycota; Agaricomycetes; Agaricales; Strophariaceae. The record is from Rfam.